UACGGAGGAUGCGAGCGUUAUCCGGAUUUAUUGGGUUUAAAGGGUGCGCAGGCGGGGUGUUAAGUCAGCGGUGAAAGUUCCCGGCUCAACCGGGUCAGUGCCGUUGAUACUGGCAGUCUUGAAUGCGGUCAAGGCCGGCGGAAUGUGGCGUGUAGCGGUGAAAUGCAUAGAUAUGCCACAGAACACCGAUAGCGAAGGCAGCUGGCCGGGCCUGCAUUGACGCUCAGGCACGAAAGCGUGGGGAUCGAAC
This 250-nucleotide ribosomal RNA is filed under the name uncultured prokaryote. RNAcentral describes it as "partial 16S ribosomal RNA". It matches the Rfam family "Bacterial small subunit ribosomal RNA", at positions 524 to 773 of the family's 1533-position model. The record is from RNAcentral.